Molecule: long non-coding RNA, 586 nt
Organism: Nyctereutes procyonoides (raccoon dog)
Lineage: Eukaryota; Metazoa; Chordata; Mammalia; Carnivora; Canidae
Exons: 3
Source: RefSeq, a predicted model, not a curated record
GAGGCGUUUUGUGGAUUUGCCUCUUUUCCCUUCCCGCUCUACUCACGGAUCUAAAGUAGGAGGAAGAGAAUCAGGCUCGACCUGCUUCCUGCAGAGCCCUGGGUGGGUAAAGCAAGCGGACCUCACAGCUGAGAUGUGCACCCAGACGGCCGGACUCCAGCGCCUCAACCCGACCCCUGUGCUCACUUGGAGACCCAUGAAUGGGCUGUCAAAGAAAGGACAGAAGCUCCUGUAACCUAUGGGCACAGACUCUCCUUGUCUUCCUGCCUGGGGCCAGGACACCUUGUGGUUCUCUGUGCCUGGUCUUGGAAGUCCAGCUGGAGGUAGAGAAGCAAGCCAGCUCUCCAGAGCAGGACACAGGACAAGAGAAGCGUCUUUCAAAGGGAGGCGGCAAAGAUCAAAUUUCAAGACAAGGGCUCAGGAUCUGGAAAGGAAAUCAGGGCAUAGAGAGAAUGGCUUAAGAACCCCGUUGCUAGGGAUCCCUGGGUGGCGCAGCAGUUUGGCGCCUGCCUUUGGCCCAGGGCACGAUCCUGGAGACCCGGGAUCGAAUCCCACGUCGGGCUCCCGGUGCAUGGAGCCUGCUUCU